GUCUGAUCCUGGCUCAGAGCGAACGCUGGCGGCAUGCCUAACACAUGCAAGUCGCGCGGUCAGCAAUGGCAGCGGCGGACGGGUGCGUAACGCGUAGGAACGUGUCUUGAGGUGGGGGACAACCCUGGGAAACUGGGGCUAAUACCGCAUAUGGGCUGAGGCCCAAAGCCGUGAGGCGCCUUAGGAGCGGCCUGCGUCCGAUUAGCUAGUUGGUGGGGUAAAGGCCUACCAAGGCUGCGAUCGGUAGCUGGUCUGAGAGGACGAUCAGCCACACUGGGACUGAGACACGGCCCAGAUUCCUACGGGAGGCAGCAGUGGGGAAUAUUGGACAAUGGGCGCAAGCCUGAUCCAGCAAUGCCGCGUGGGUGAAGAAGGUCUUCGGAUCGUAAAGCCCUUUCGACAGGGACGAUGAUGACGGUACCUGUAGAAGAAGCCCCGGCUAACUUCGUGCCAGCAGCCGCGGUAAUACGAAGGGGGCUAGCGUUGCUCGGAAUUACUGGGCGUAAAGGGCGCGUAGGCGGCAUAGUCAGUCAGGCGUGAAAUUCCUGGGCUUAACCUGGGGGCUGCGUUUGAGACGGCUAUGCUAGAGGGUAGGAGAGGGUCGUGGAAUUCCCAGUGUA
This 620-nucleotide ribosomal RNA is filed under the name uncultured bacterium. RNAcentral describes it as "bacterial SSU rRNA". It matches the Rfam family "Bacterial small subunit ribosomal RNA", at positions 11 to 677 of the family's 1533-position model. The record is from RNAcentral.